ACCAUUUUUGAUUCCUUCAUCUUCUUGCUACAGAAAACAAUUAAUCGAACUCGUAACAAAGAAAUCUAACCUUCCUCGAAAGGAAAUUAGGUUGAAGUUUCAUUUUAUUUUGACCUAGUUUUAUGUUCUUAAGAAAUUAGGCGAAGAAGAAAAUGGCGAAGAAGCAAGAGAAAAAGACAGAUGAAAAGAGGAAACUUAUUAGGAAAGUGGUUGUAAAAAAAAGAUCUCCAAAAGGUAAAAAAAGAGAAACAGAGUCGUAUAGAUGCUCGUUGCAUCAUUUGUGCAAAGUAGCAGCUGACAUAAAGGCGUUGAUACAGAACAAAGAACCGUAUAUGUUAGCUCUUAAAUCAUGUCCAUUCUGGCGUUUCAUUGAGCCAUUAUUUGAUGGUGUAAUGGAAGAAGAAGAGCUCGUCAAAAAGACAAAAGCAGUCAUGAUGGUUUUACAGUCACUUGAAUUCAGAAAAGAUGGUAAGCUACCAUUGUGUUUCAGGUUAGGUAAAUCGAAGAAAAUGACUCUGCAGACAAUUCCAGAACCUUUCUCUGUUAUCUUUAGUCUAUGAAUGAUGGAGGGUGUAGAAGUAGAUGAAAAAGUGGGCAUAGGUGAAAAACUGGAGAAAAAGGUUAAAAUCUUCGUCGCUCAGUAUUUUAAAGGAAGUAAAAAGACGUUCAAAGCUGAUAUUCAACGUUGCAUGAUGAAAGCCGCAGCGGAUGAAACCAAAGCAAAUGAGUUUGUAAAGUUUUUCGUCAUGUUCCUGUUAGUGUCGGUAUUCGUCCCCAACAAAGGUGGGCGAAGUCUGGAUGCCAAGUACUUGUAUAUGGUAUUUGAUAUGAACAAGGUUUGUUGGCCACAAGUGUUCCAUGAUUAUCUACUUGAGUCAAUAAUAGAUUGUGAUGGCGAUGUUGAAAACGUAGUUGGUUGCAUAAUUUACCCGCUGUAUUGUGUAGCAGAGAUGACUAUGAUUGCAAAAAGGAAGGAUGGGCUCGACAGGUAUCCGAGUUUUUCUAGAUGGAACCUUGGCAAUGUCUUCCAGCAAAUAUUGGAAAACUUCGAUGAUUUCUCCGACAAGAAAGAUUUAUACUCUGAGAAGAAUAUGCGUCGCCGCAAGGGGUCAUUCUUGCUUGAAUAUGACGAUCUAGAGACGCGUUUGGUUGAGCCCAUAGAUGAAGAUGAUAUUGUUGUUGAAGAUUCUGUUGAACCUGAAGAGCCGGUUGAAGACAAUGUUGCAGACCAUAUUGCUGAAAAUGAAGUGCCUGCACAAGUUGAAGACAACUCUUACGAGGCCAAAUACAGGUGGGCAAGAAUGGUGAUUGAAAAUCUUACAACAGUUGGAAACAAUGGACUCUCCGAAGAAGAUAAAGCAGUAUGGAAAAAUAUGACGCUGAGGUUGGGUUUCAACCAUCAUUGAAGACUUACUCCAGAAGGAAGCGUAAGAGAGUCCAAGUAGACUUGCUCCAGAAAGAAGAUGUUCGUUCGGAGCCAGAAAAGGUUUCAGAUGUUGAGGUGGUGAAAGGUGCAGCGGCGGAGGAUGAAAUGAUGCAUAUUGCCGGUAAGCAUUUACUGCAUGAAGGAACAGAACAAGAGCAUUUACUGCAUGAAGGAACAGGACAAGAGGAUGUUGAAGAAAGGGUUCAACCUAGUGAAGCAAUGAUACAAGGUUAUGUAGCUUUUCUGAUGGAACCAGAAAAGGUUUCAGUACCUGGAAAUGUUGUUGAAGAUGUUUUGAUGGAACCCGAAAGGGUUUCACUGUCUGGAGAUGCAGAAAAUCUGGCGAUGUUGUCUCUUCAUUAGAUGCAGAACCACAACAAGGAAUAGAAGAGUCUGAUAAAGAACAAGGACAAGAAGGAGCAUAAAUAGAAGAGGUUUCGGAGUUGACUCCAAACACUAUCGAGGAAAUCAAGGUGGCCGAGCAGGUUGAAUUUGAAAUGAAGAAAUCUUCAUCAAAACCGGAGGACGAGAGUGAACAAUUAACUCCGAAUACUCUUGAAGAAAUCAAGGUGGACGAGCAGGUCGAAUCCGAGUCCAAGAAAUGUUCAUCAAAGCCAGGGAAUGAACAAGAAGAGGGUAUGGAGUUGACUCCAAAUACUAUUGAGGAUAUCAAGGUGGCCGAACAGGUCGAAUAUGAGGCGAAGAAAUGUUCUUCUUUGAAGCAAAAUAUUGAACAAGAAGACAAUGAAACUCGGUUUAUAUAUGAUGAGGACAGUGAGGAUGCUAUUCGGAAAAUGGAAUCCGUUUAUGCAAAGGAAGGUUGUUCGUCAAAGACAAAGGUGCAAAGUGUAUACUACUACUCAACUGUAAGAAUGGUAGAGGAUGUAGCUGAUAUAGAAGACGGUGAACCUGCAUUCAGUUUAGGACUGAUGCAGAGUGACAGUGAAAAACAAGAUGUUGAAAAAGGAUCUCCAAACAUCAUUCCCAAGAAAAAGUUGAGUAAUAUGAUUACAAGACUAAAGGAUGACAGAAGAAAAAUGCAAGAACCAGUCAAAUAUCGGGAUUAUAUAACUGAGAAAAUGAAAAGAAGAAAAACUAAAUGCGAUUGGAGAAAAGAUCCUAAUGAAAAGAAUAAAGCAGAAGGCGAAGAAUGAGGAGGUGUAUAAGGUGAAGGAUGUGAAGUUGAAAGCAGUUGAAAAUUUGAAAAUUAUGAAGGUACUCGAUGAAAGUCAGAGACCCCUUGUGAGCAGGUUUUUCAGAAGCAAAACUGAAAGCUACACGGCGUGGGAGAACAAGGAGCACCAACUGAUAAUAUCUGGGAGGAUGCUGGAUUUGUUGAUGAGAAAGGGAGACGUCGGAGGAGACAUCAUUGAGUUUUACAUCUUGAAAUUGCAAAAGAACAUCCUCAAAGAAGAGUUGAAACCAGAUGGUAAUCCGAAGUACAAGAAAGCUGUGUUUCUAAGCACAUUUGCCUAUACAUGUCACUCACUAGAAUGAGAUGUGGUAGUGCAAUUGAAGCGUUCAUCGACAAAAUGGACUACAGUGUAUAAUUUUUAUUCGUUCCGUUGCUGACAACAGUUGGAGAUGGGGUAGACCAUUGGACACUGCUAGAUUUUGAUACUGAAACCGCAGAAUUUUCUCACUACAACUCCUUGGCUUCCAUUGAAGAAGAAUGCAGGAAAAGUGAUGAAAGCAUGAGACAAAGAAUAAUAUCAGCAUUUGCACAGCACGAUGCAAAGCUCCCCCGUGACGAGCAGACAACUCAGCCCCCGCCAUACACUAUGCACACGCCAUCAUGUUGUCAACAAAUGGGGAAUGAUUGUGGUCUUCAUGUUUGUUAUUACAUGAAGAUCCUCUUGAAGGAAAACAUGGCGUCGUCUCCUGGAGAUGAUAUUUCACUAAAGGUGCAUGAGAUGAGACCAAAGAUGGUGUGUAAGAUCCUCCUUGAUGCAUGAAGAGUCUCAUGGGGAGAAUAUUUCAGAAAGGGUAGAAAGCAUGAGAGCAAAGUUACGUAUACUGUCAACUAUUUAUAAAUUUG
Long non-coding RNA from Papaver somniferum (opium poppy), 3464 nucleotides. RefSeq lists it as uncharacterized. The transcript has 8 exons. Lineage: Eukaryota; Viridiplantae; Streptophyta; Magnoliopsida; Ranunculales; Papaveraceae. The record is from RefSeq and is a predicted model, not a curated record.